CAUGCAAGUCGAGGGGCAGCGAAGAGGUAGCAAUACCUCUGUCGGCGACCGGCGCACGGGUGAGUAACACGUAUGCAAUCCACCUGUAACAGGGGGAUAACCCGGAGAAAUCCGGACUAAUACCCCAUAAUAUGGGCGCUCCGCAUGGAGAGUCCAUUAAAGAGAGCAAUUUUGGUUACAGACGAGCAUGCGCUCCAUUAGCCAGUUGGCGGGGUAACGGCCCACCAAAGCGACGAUGGAUAGGGGUUCUGAGAGGAAGGUCCCCCACAUUGGAACUGAGACACGGUCCAAACUCCUACGGGAGGCAGCAGUGAGGAAUAUUGGUCAAUGGUCGGCAGACUGAACCAGCCAAGUCGCGUGAGGGAAGACGGCCCUACGGGUUGUAAACCUCUUUUGUCGGAGAGUAAAGUACGCUACGUGUAGCGUAUUGCAAGUAUCCGAAGAAAAAGCAUCGGCUAACUCCGUGCCAGCAGCCGCGGUAAUACGGAGGAUGCGAGCGUUAUCCGGAUUUAUUGGGUUUAAAGGGUGCGUAGGCGGCACGCCAAGUCAGCGGUGAAAUUUUCGGGCUCAACCCGGACUGUGCCGUUGAAACUGGCGAGCUAGAGUGCACAAGAGGCAGGCGGAAUGCGUGGUGUAGCGGUGAAAUGCAUAGAUAUCACGCAGAACCCCGAUUGCGAAGGCAGCCUGCUAGGGUGCGACAGACGCUGAGGCACGAAAGCGUGGGUAUCGAACAGGAUUAGAUACCCUGGUAGUCCACGCAGUAAACGAUGAAUACUAACUGUUUGCGAUACAAUGUAAGCGGUACAGCGAAAGCGUUAAGUAUUCCACCUGGGGAGUACGCCGGCAACGGUGAAACUCAAAGGAAUUGACGGGGGCCCGCACAAGCGGAGGAACAUGUGGUUUAAUUCGAUGAUACGCGAGGAACCUUACCCGGG
Molecule: ribosomal RNA, 935 nt
Filed under: uncultured bacterium
Lineage: Bacteria
Description: bacterial SSU rRNA
Rfam family: Bacterial small subunit ribosomal RNA
Source: RNAcentral